UACGGAGGAUCCGAGCGUUAUCCGGAUUCAUUGGGUUUAAAGGGAGCGUAGGUGGAUUGUUAAGUCAGUUGUGAAAGUUUGCGGCUCAACCGUAAAAUUGCAGUUGAAACUGGCAGUCUUGAGUACAGUAGAGGUGGGCGGAAUUCGUGGUGUAGCGGUGAAAUGCUUAGAUAUCACGAAGAACUCCGAUUGCGAAGGCAGCUCACUGGACUGCAACUGACACUGAGGCUCGAAAGCGUGGGUAUCAAACAGG
Molecule: ribosomal RNA, 253 nt
Filed under: uncultured bacterium
Lineage: Bacteria
Description: partial 16S ribosomal RNA
Rfam family: Bacterial small subunit ribosomal RNA
Source: RNAcentral